GGUCGCUGCCACCGGUCGGGUCUAAGACCUGUGCUGGUAGCGGCGGCCCUCCUCCGGAGGACCAUGGGUACCCUUCACUGUGGUGGUCAUGGGGUUCCGGACGUUUACUUUGAGGAAAUUAGAGUGUUCAAAGCAGGCGAUAGCCCGAAUACGUCAGCAUGGAAUAAUGGAAUAGGACUUUGGUACUAUUUUGUUGGUUUUGAGGACCGAAGUA
This 214-nucleotide ribosomal RNA is filed under the name uncultured fungus. RNAcentral's name for it is "partial small subunit ribosomal RNA". The stretch from base 87 to 214 matches the Rfam family "Eukaryotic small subunit ribosomal RNA", at positions 734 to 864 of the family's 1831-position model. The record is from RNAcentral. Lineage: Eukaryota; Fungi.